This 230-nucleotide ribosomal RNA is filed under the name Glyptocephalus zachirus (Rex sole). RNAcentral's name for it is "partial 16S ribosomal RNA". The record is from RNAcentral. Lineage: Eukaryota; Metazoa; Chordata; Actinopteri; Pleuronectiformes; Pleuronectidae.
AUGGAGCUUUAGACACACAGGUGGACCAUGUCAAGUACCCCCGGCUAAGGGCCCGAACUAAAUGGAACCUGCCUUGAUGUCUUCGGUUGGGGCGACCAUGGGGAAUACAAAACCCCCACGUGGAAAGGGAGCACACCCCUAAGUUACUUCUUCUCCCGCAAGCCAGAGCAACAGCUCUAACCAGCAGAAAUUCUGACCAAACUGAUCCGGUAAAACCGAUCAACGAACCA